CUCUGAGUAUAACACCUUUAUUUUUCCUCUUGGUCCCAUGUCUAUUACGUUAAGGGAUGUUGGGGCCCUGGUAAAUUUACCACCUUUGGGUGAUACCGUUUUCCCAGGCAUCUUAGUUUCUGGUGGCGCCCCUCAGUUCGGUAAAAACUAUACCGAUUCUUAUUCAAGCCUGCAGACACUGCACAAUCAUUCGAGUGCUGAGCCUACUCAUGCUGAGCGAGUGGCCUUCCUUUUACUCUGGCUUUGUAAAUAUGUGUUGUGCGUGCCUAGUAUAAAGCCCUCUCUGAGUUAUCUACCUAUAGCGCAUGAACUGGCGCGUGGCAGGCCUUUGAAUUUAUGUUCUUUGUUUUUGGCUGCCCUUUAUAGAGGUAUGGCUUUUCUUCAGGCUCAAUUGAAGAAUGGUGCAUCUCCUACUGGCAGUGGACCUCUUUGGUUCACUCAGCUGUGGUUGAGAUCCUAUUUUCCAUCGCUUGGUGCUCCAUCCAUUUCUUGUCCUUCUGCUAGCUGUUACGGGCUAGCUAUGGAGCCUUUAACUCCUGUAAGUAUGUCCAAAAGGGACAUUUUUUCAUUCUUUUAUUCUUUAAAUUCGAUCUCUUCCUUCUUUCCUUUCCCUCCUUUUUUGACUCCGGACUAUGUACAUCCUCCUUCCACUCUAGAUAGCGCGAGCACCUCUCUGCUCAUUUGGAUCCAGUUCUUAACUGGGAGGGAGCUUUUCCACGAUAUCUUAACCGGGACCAAUGCCAAAGCUGGGGUAGAAAUUUAUGCUCCCCAAUUUUUUGCUCGGCAGCUUGGUUUUGGCCAAACUUGGCCUGUUCCUCUUUGCUAUUCGAAGAACUUAAAC
RNAcentral lists this long non-coding RNA (841 nucleotides) under Olea europaea subsp. europaea. Lineage: Eukaryota; Viridiplantae; Streptophyta; Magnoliopsida; Lamiales; Oleaceae. The record is from RNAcentral.